AGUGAACGCUGGCGGUAGGCCUAACACAUGCAAGUCGAACGGCAGCACAGUAAGAGCUUGCUCUUACGGGUGGCGAGUGGCGGACGGGUGAGGAAUACAUCGGAAUCUACUUUUUCGUGGGGGAUAACGUAGGGAAACUUACGCUAAUACCGCAUACGACCUACGGGUGAAAGCAGGGGAUCUUCGGACCUUGCGCGAUUGAAUGAGCCGAUGUCGGAUUAGCUAGUUGGCGGGGUAAAGGCCCACCAAGGCGACGAUCCGUAGCUGGUCUGAGCGGAUGAUCAGCCACACUGGAACUGAGACACGGUCCAGACUCCUACGGGAGGCAGCAGUGGGGAAUAUUGGACAAUGGGCGCAAGCCUGAUCCAGCCAUACCGCGUGGGUGAAGAAGGCCUUCGGGUUGUAAAGCCCUUUUGUUGGGAAAGAAAAGCAGCAGGUUAAUACCCCGCUGUUCUGACGGUACCCAAAGAAUAAGCACCGGCUAACUUCGUG
Molecule: ribosomal RNA, 492 nt
Filed under: uncultured bacterium
Lineage: Bacteria
Description: partial 16S ribosomal RNA
Rfam family: Bacterial small subunit ribosomal RNA
Source: RNAcentral